Molecule: ribosomal RNA, 401 nt
Filed under: Salmonella enterica subsp. enterica
Lineage: Bacteria; Pseudomonadati; Pseudomonadota; Gammaproteobacteria; Enterobacterales; Enterobacteriaceae
Also listed under: 1 other name
Description: partial 23S ribosomal RNA
Rfam family: Bacterial large subunit ribosomal RNA
Source: RNAcentral
GAAUGCUGACAUAAGUAACGAUAAAGCGGGUGAAAAGCCCGCUCGCCGGAAGACCAAGGGUUCCUGUCCAACGUUAAUCGGGGCAGGGUGAGUCGACCCCUAAGGCGAGGCCGAAAGGCGUAGUCGAUGGGAAACGGGUUAAUAUUCCCGUACUUGGUGUUACUGCGAAGGGGGGACGGAGAAGGCUAUGUUGGCCGGGCGACGGUUGUCCCGGUUUAAGCGUGUAGGUGUGUGUUCCAGGUAAAUCCGGUUCACUUUAACACUGAGGCGUGACGACGAGGCACUACGGUGCUGAAGCAACAAAUGCCCUGCUUCCAGGAAAAGCCUCUAAGCAUCAGGUAACACGAAAUCGUACCCCAAACCGACACAGGUGGUCAGGUAGAGAAUACCAAGGCGCUUGA